RNAcentral lists this ribosomal RNA (2881 nucleotides) under Xanthomonas arboricola. RNAcentral's name for it is "23S ribosomal RNA". It matches the Rfam family "Bacterial large subunit ribosomal RNA". RNAcentral also lists the same sequence under 2 other names. Lineage: Bacteria; Pseudomonadati; Pseudomonadota; Gammaproteobacteria; Lysobacterales; Lysobacteraceae. The record is from RNAcentral.
GGUCAAGCGAAUAAGCGCACACGGUGGAUGCCUAGGCGGUCAGAGGCGAUGAAGGACGUGGUAGCCUGCGAAAAGUGUCGGGGAGCUGGCAACAAGCUUUGAUCCGGCAAUAUCCGAAUGGGGAAACCCACUGCUUCGGCAGUAUCCUGCAGUGAAUUCAUAGCUGCUGGAAGCGAACCCGGUGAACUGAAAUAUCUAAGUAACCGGAGGAAAAGAAAUCAACCGAGAUUCCCUGAGUAGUGACGAGCGAACGGGGAACAGCCCUUAAGCUGGAAUGGCUUUAGAAAAACAAUCUGGAAAGAUUGGCCAUAGAAGGUGAUAGCCCUGUAUUUAAAAGGGCCACUCCAGUGAAGACGAGUAGGGCGGGGCACGUGAAACCCUGUCUGAAUAUGGGGGGACCAUCCUCCAAGGCUAAAUACUCCUGACCGACCGAUAGUGAACCAGUACCGUGAGGGAAAGGCGAAAAGAACCCCGGAGAGGGGAGUGAAAUAGAUCCUGAAACCGUGUGCGUACAAGCAGUAGGAGCUCGCAAGAGUGACUGCGUACCUUUUGUAUAAUGGGUCAGCGACUUACUGUUCGUGGCAAGCUUAACCGUAUAGGGGAGGCGAAGGGAAACCGAGUCUGAUAAGGGCGCAUAGUCGCGGGCAGUAGACCCGAAACCGGGUGAUCUAGUCAUGGCCAGGGUGAAGGUGCCGUAACAGGUACUGGAGGCCCGAACCCACGUCUGUUGCAAAAGACGGGGAUGAGCUGUGAUUAGGAGUGAAAAGCUAAUCGAACCCGGAGAUAGCUGGUUCUCCUCGAAAGCUAUUUAGGUAGCGCCUCGGACGAAUACUACUGGGGGUAGAGCACUGUUAUGGCUAGGGGGUCAUCGCGACUUACCAAACCAUUGCAAACUCCGAAUACCAGUACGUACUAUCCGGGAGACACACGGCGGGUGCUAACGUCCGUCGUGAAAAGGGAAACAACCCAGACCCACAGCUAAGGUCCCAAAUUCACUGCUAAGUGGAAAACGAUGUGGAAAGGCAUAGACAGCCAGGAGGUUGGCUUAGAAGCAGCCACCCUUUAAAGAAAGCGUAAUAGCUCACUGGUCGAGUCGGUCUGCGCGGAAGAUUUAACGGGGCUAAGCAGUGAACCGAAGCUUGGGGUGCAUAAAACUUGUUUUAUGCGCGGUAGAGGAGCGUUCCGUAAGCCUGCGAAGGUGGAUUGAGAAGUCUGCUGGAGGUAUCGGAAGUGCGAAUGCUGACAUGAGUAACGAUAAUGCGGGUGAAAAGCCCGCACGCCGAAAGCCCAAGGUUUCCUUGCGCAACGUUAAUCGACGCAGGGUUAGUCGGUCCCUAAGGCGAGGGCGAAAGCCGUAGUCGAUGGGAAGCAGGUUAAUAUUCCUGCACCUCGCGUGAGUGCGAUGGAGGGACGGAGAAGGUUAGGUGUACCGGGCGUUGGUUGUCCCGGGGAAAGGCGGUAGGUUUGAAUCUUUGGCAAAUCCGGGAUUCUUUAAGACCGAGCACCGAGACGAGCCUUUAUGGCGAAGUCACUGAUACCACGCUUCCAGGAAAAGCUCCUAAGCUUCAGCUCACGAAGACCGUACCGUAAACCGACACAGGUGGGUAGGAUGAGAAUUCUCAGGCGCUUGAGAGAACUCGGGUGAAGGAACUAGGCAACAUGGCACCGUAACUUCGGGAGAAGGUGCACCCUUUUUGGUGGCUCAUGCGAGCUAUAGCUGAAGAGGGUCGCAGAAACCAGGCCGCUGCGACUGUUUAUCAAAAACACAGCACUCUGCAAACACGAAAGUGGACGUAUAGGGUGUGACGCCUGCCCGGUGCUGGAAGGUUAAUUGAUGGGGUCAGCCGCAAGGCGAAGCUCUUGAUCGAAGCCCCAGUAAACGGCGGCCGUAACUAUAACGGUCCUAAGGUAGCGAAAUUCCUUGUCGGGUAAGUUCCGACCUGCACGAAUGGCGUAACGACAGCGGCGCUGUCUCCACCCGAGACUCAGUGAAAUUGAAAUCGCUGUGAAGAUGCAGCGUUCCCGUGGCAAGACGGAAAGACCCCGUGAACCUUUACUAUAGCUUUACACUGAACGUUGAGUUCGUCUGUGUAGGAUAGGUGGGAGGCUAUGAAACUGUGGCGCUAGCUGCAGUGGAGCCAUCCUUGAAAUACCACCCUGUCGUGCUUGACGUUCUAACCUAGGUCCGUUAUCCGGAUCAGGGACCGUGUAUGGUGGGUAGUUUGACUGGGGCGGUCUCCUCCUAAAGAGUAACGGAGGAGCACGAAGGUACGCUCAGCGCGGUCGGACAUCGCGCACUGUGUGCAAAGGCAUAAGCGUGCUUGACUGCAAGAUCGACGGAUCAAGCAGGUACGAAAGUAGGUCUUAGUGAUCCGGUGGUUCUGUAUGGAAGGGCCAUCGCUCAACGGAUAAAAGGUACUCCGGGGAUAACAGGCUGAUACCGCCCAAGAGUUCAUAUCGACGGCGGUGUUUGGCACCUCGAUGUCGGCUCAUCACAUCCUGGGGCUGUAGUCGGUCCCAAGGGUAUGGCUGUUCGCCAUUUAAAGUGGUACGCGAGCUGGGUUCAGAACGUCGUGAGACAGUUCGGUCCCUAUCUGCCAUGGGCGUUGGAAGUUUGAGAGGGGCUGCUCCUAGUACGAGAGGACCGGAGUGGACGAACCUCUGGUGUUCCGGUUGUCACGCCAGUGGCAUUGCCGGGUAGCUAUGUUCGGAAGCGAUAACCGCUGAAAGCAUCUAAGCGGGAAGCGCGCCUCAAGAUGAGACUUCCCGGGGCACAAGCCCCCUAAAGGAACCAUGUAGACUACGUGGUUGAUAGGUCAGGUGUGUAAGUACAGCAAUGUAUUGAGCUAACUGAUACUAAUGAUCCGUGCGGCUUGACCAU